UGGUAUGCAGAAAAUAUGUUGUGAAACAAGUGCUUUGAAUUAGGACAAAUGCAAAGGCUUAGGGCUGAUUAAUAGCUACUGCAGUCAAAGACUUCUGAGACCAGGUCCUUUCUGUCCCCUUGAGGGUCCCCCGGGGGGAAGGGGUGGCCCCGUGUCCUCACCAGGUGACACUGUCCUGUGUCCCUGUCCCCAGAAGGUCCCUUUUGUCCCCAAACCCCCCCCCCCGACCCGAGGGACUGUCCCUUGUGGACGCAGCAGAUUUAAUGAUUUGGGGACAAAACGCGCACACGGGGGGACACGUCCCCCACCUUGGGGACACGCCAGGCCCCCAGGGGUGGUGGCACGUGGAGGAAGGUGGCACUUCUGGGGGGGUUGGUGGCACUUUUGGGGACAGAGGAGCACCACGGGACAGUGGCACCUUGGGGACACGGUGGCCGUUGUGGGGUGGUGGCACCGUGGGGACGCGGUGACACUGGGAGGUGGUGGCACUUUGGCAAGACGGGGGCUCCAGGGGGUGGUGGCACCGUGGGGACAGGGCUCCAGGGGGUGGUGGCACCAUGGGGACAGGGUUCCAGGGGUUGGUGGCACCAUAGGGACAGGGCUCCAGGGGGUUGGUGGCACCUUGGGGACAGGGUUCCAAGGGGUUGGUGGCACCAUGGGGACAGGGCUCCAAGGGGUUGGUGGCACCAUGGGGACGGGGCUCCAAGGGGUUGGUGGCAACGUGGGGACGGGGCUCCAAGGGGUUGGUGGCAACGUGGGGACAGGGCUCCAAGGGGUUGGUGGCAACGUGGGGACGGGGCUCCAAGGGGUUGGUGGCACCAUGGGGACGGGGCUCCAGGGGUUGGUGGCACCAUGGGGACGGGGCUCCAAGGGGUUGGUGGCACCGUGGGGACAGGGCUCCAGGGGGUGGUGGCAUCUGGCAGGCAGGGUGACACGCUGGCACCGUGGGGACACGGUGUUGCUGGGAGGUGGUGGCACUUUGGUGAGAUGGGGGCUCCAGGGGUUGGUGGCACCGUGGGGACGGGGCUCCAAGGGGUUGGUGGCACCGUGGGGACAGGGCUCCAGGGGGUGGUGGCAUCUGGCAGGCAGGGUGACACACUGGCACCGUGGGGACGCGGUGUUGCUGGGAGGUGGUGGCACUUUGGUGAGAUGGGGGCUCCAGGGGUUGGUGGCACCAUGGGGACAGGGCUCCAAGGGGUUGGUGGCACCAUGGGGAUGGGGCUCCAAGGGGUUGGUGGCACCAUGGGGACGGGACUCCAGGGGGUUGGUGGCACCAUGAGGAUGGGGCUCCAGGGGUUGGUGGCACCUUGGGGACGGGGCUCCAAGGGGUUGGUGGCACCAUGGGGACAGGGCUCCAAGGGGUUGGUGGCACCGUGGGGACGGGGCUCCAAGGGGUUGGUGGCACCAUGGGGACAGGGCUCCAAGGGGUUGGUGGCACCGUGGGGACAGGGCUCCAGGGGGUGGUGGCAUCUGGCAGGCAGGGUGACACACUGGCACCGUGGGGACGCGGUGUUGCUGGGAGGUGGUGGCACUUUGGUGAGAUGGGGGCUCCAGGGGUUGGUGGCACCAUGGGGACAGGGCUCCAAGGGGUUGGUGGCACCAUGGGGACAGGGCUCCAAGGGGGUGGUGGCACCAUGGGGACGGGGCUCCAAGGGGUUGGUGGCACCGUGGGGACAGGGCUCCAGGGGGUGGUGGCACCUGUCAGGCAGGUGGAAGUGGCACUUCGGGGACACGGUGGCCCUGGCUCACGCCUGGCACUCGGACUUCUUCUGGGCAGCCUGUGGGGACAGAU
This 1792-nucleotide long non-coding RNA is filed under the name Calidris pugnax (ruff). Its description in RNAcentral is "lncRNA (ENSCPUG00000010749.1)". Lineage: Eukaryota; Metazoa; Chordata; Aves; Charadriiformes; Scolopacidae. The record is from RNAcentral.